Long non-coding RNA from Larimichthys crocea (large yellow croaker), 1152 nucleotides. RefSeq lists it as uncharacterized. The record is from RefSeq and is a predicted model, not a curated record. NCBI's taxonomy places the organism in Eukaryota, Metazoa, Chordata, Actinopteri, Sciaenidae. The transcript has 2 exons.
GCCGGUGUGCGAAAGCUUCGCUCCACUCCACUUCCUCAUCCUCCAUCAUCACCCUGUGGCAGAGACAGACUGGUUUGAUGCUGCAGAUGAAGUGAACUGUACGCAGCUCAGGACGUCCUCAGCUCACUGCUCCAUGAUGGUAUGUAAAUCAUAAAGUUGUGCUAUAAUAGGAACAUUCAGGAAUUAUGUUUCCCCUCCGCAAUGCAUAUUUGGGAGUAUUCUCCAGGCUGCCUGUCUAAUACUUAGCUUGUGCUGCCAUCUAUUGGCUUGUAGAUGUCAAGAUCACAUCAGGAAAAAAAAAAAAAUCAAUCAACUCAAGUUCAAAGCUGGAUUACUGCCUAGACAAAGAGGGCAAACGUGCCCAGGGACACUGAACGCCUCAGGUCUACUGUGAGUGAGUUUGCCAUGAUUAAAUUAAUUCUGUUCAGAAAUAUACAACACACUGAUACAUCAACUAAAAUGUUAAGUAGCUCAAGGUGCUUUAAACUAUAAUCUUGAGGCCCUGUCUUGUUCAUACACCAUACAUAGUAUUGCACAUCCAUCUUCUUAAAAGGUAAUCGGGUUCACGAUUUAUCUGUAUUCUUUACCCCCGUAGUGGUUAAAGACCAUGUUUAAAUGAUGAGGCAGGAUAUGUGAACGUGAAAGAAUCUUUAAUUCUUGGAUUAAGAACUCCUAACUUUCAAACAUUGUCAGAAUCUCUUAAUAUUGACCUACAACCCAAUGCAGUAAUGGCCAGAUUUGGUACUACAGGGCAGAAGAUAUUCUGCAAUAAGGAAAAGAUAUAAAAACAUCAUUGCUUUUACAACACUGCUUUGCACGCAAAAGAAUUUUAUUACAUUGGAAAUCCAAAAAUCCACCUAGUGCGUCUCUGUAUGAACUGCAUUAAACCACAGUUAGAGAAAAUAAAAUACUCUCAGGGGAUCCAGUGCUGACAUACUUGGCCCACUUAACAUCCCUCUAGUAUUUGCACAGUGGUGAUAUUCAUCCAUGUGAACUAUAUAUAUUUUACUAUUAUUAUCCUUUCUUACUCUCUGGAUGGCAUUUGUCAUACCAAAAAAAAAAAAAAAAUGAUGUGAGCAUUGGUCCAAAGUUUUAUUUUGUGAAUAUUGUACUAUCAGUGCUCUAUAAAGAUGAAAUUUAAAAGGAAAAAAA